RNAcentral lists this unclassified non-coding RNA (345 nucleotides) under soil metagenome. RNAcentral describes it as "partial contains 5.8S ribosomal RNA, internal transcribed spacer 2, and large subunit ribosomal RNA". The stretch from base 1 to 120 matches the Rfam family "5.8S ribosomal RNA", at positions 35 to 154 of the family's 154-position model. The record is from RNAcentral.
GAUGAAGAACGUAGCGAAAUGCGAUACGUAAUGUGAAUUGCAGAAUUCAGUGAAUCAUCGAGUCUUUGAACGCACAUUGCGCCACCUGGUAGUCCGGGGGGCAUGCCUGUCCGAGCGUCAUUGCUGCCCUCAAGCACGGCUUGUGUGUUGGGCCUCCGUCCUCCUCCCGGGGGACGGGCCCGAAAGGCAGCGGCGGCACCGCGUCCGGUCCUCGAGCGUAUGGGGCUUCGUCACCCGCUCUUGUAGGCCCGGCCGGCGCUUGCCGACACAUCAAUCUUUUUUCCAGGUUGACCUCGGAUCAGGUAGGGAUACCCGCUGAACUUAAGCAUAUCAAUAAGCGGAGGA